RNAcentral lists this ribosomal RNA (366 nucleotides) under uncultured bacterium. RNAcentral describes it as "bacterial SSU rRNA". It matches the Rfam family "Bacterial small subunit ribosomal RNA", at positions 396 to 760 of the family's 1533-position model. The record is from RNAcentral.
GCCGCGUGAGGGAAGACGGCCCUAUGGGUUGUAAACCUCUUUUGUCGGAGAACAAAACCCGGGACGAGUCCCGGACUGCGUGUAUCCGAAGAAAAAGCAUCGGCUAACUCCGUGCCAGCAGCCGCGGUAAUACGGAGGAUGCGAGCGUUAUCCGGAUUUAUUGGGUUUAAAGGGUGCGUAGGCGGUCCGUUAAGUCAGCGGUAAAAUUGCGGGGCUCAACCCCGUCGAGCCGUUGAAACUGGCAGACUUGAGUUGGCGAGAAGUACGCGGAAUGCGCGGUGUAGCGGUGAAAUGCAUAGAUAUCGCGCAGAACUCCGAUUGCGAAGGCAGCGUACCGCCGCCAGACUGACGCUGAGGCACGAAAGC